UUCGCAAUGCCCGAAAGGGUGGCGAAGCGACGCCGCGUGGGUGAGGAAGGCCUUCGGGUUGUAAAGCCCUGUCAGGAGUUAAGAAAUGUAAGUGCGCUAAUAUCGCAUUUAUUUGACGAAGGCUCCAAAGGAAGUCACGGCUAACUCUGUGCCAGCAGCCGCGGUAAUACAGAGGUGGCAAGCGUUGUUCGGAAUUAUUGGGCGUAAAGAGCACGUAGGUGGGUUUGCAAGUCAGAUGUGAAAGCCUCCUGUUCAACGGGAGAAUUGCAUCUGAAACUGCAGAUCUUGAGUGUAGGAGGGGAGAAUGGAACUUCUGGUGGAGCGGUGAAAUGCGUAGAUAUCAGAAGGAACGCCGGCGGCGAAAGCGAUUCUCUGGCCUAUUACUGACACUCAGUGUGCGAAAGCUAGGGGAGCAAACGGGAUUAGAUACCCCGGUAGUCCUAGCCGUAAACGAUGGGCACUAAGUAGAGGGGUUUU
This 477-nucleotide ribosomal RNA is filed under the name Candidatus Scalindua brodae. Its description in RNAcentral is "bacterial SSU rRNA". It matches the Rfam family "Bacterial small subunit ribosomal RNA", at positions 365 to 832 of the family's 1533-position model. Lineage: Bacteria; Pseudomonadati; Planctomycetota; Candidatus Brocadiia; Candidatus Brocadiales; Candidatus Scalinduaceae. The record is from RNAcentral. RNAcentral also lists the same sequence under 1 other name.